This 563-nucleotide ribosomal RNA is filed under the name uncultured fungus. RNAcentral's name for it is "eukaryotic LSU rRNA". The stretch from base 175 to 329 matches the Rfam family "5.8S ribosomal RNA". The record is from RNAcentral. Lineage: Eukaryota; Fungi.
AAGGAUCAUUAUUGAAUUAUAGGCGAGGGUUGUCGCUGGCCUCUCGGGGCAUGUGCACGCCCGAGCCAUCCCCAACAAACACCGUGGGCCUUCGGGCCCGCGUAUAUUUACUCUGAAUGUGUAUAGAAUGUAAACCAUUUGUUUGCCCUGAAAAAGCAAGCGAAAAAAAAGUACAACUUUCAACAACGGAUCUCUUGGCUCUCGCAUCGAUGAAGAACGCAGCGAAAUGCGAUAAGUAAUGUGAAUUGCAGAUUUUCAGUGAAUCAUCGAAUCUUUGAACGCACCUUGCGCCCCUUGGUAUUCCGAGGGGCAUGCCUGUUUGAGUGUCAUUAAAUCCUCAACCGCGCCGAUUGAUUUCGGUGGGGCUUGGACUUUGGAGCGUGCUGGCGAAGGUCGGCUCCUCUUUAAAUGCAUCAGCGGAAGAAACCUUUGUCUUUCCUGCCUUCGGUGUGAUAAUCGUGUUGCGCCGUGGUGGAACUUCAACGAUCCGCUUACAAUGGUCUUCGGACGAAACCUCAUGUCAUCUUGACCUCAAAUCAGGUAGGACUACCCGCUGAACUUAA